RNAcentral lists this ribosomal RNA (300 nucleotides) under uncultured Legionellaceae bacterium. RNAcentral describes it as "bacterial SSU rRNA". It matches the Rfam family "Bacterial small subunit ribosomal RNA", at positions 115 to 413 of the family's 1533-position model. Lineage: Bacteria; Pseudomonadati; Pseudomonadota; Gammaproteobacteria; Legionellales; Legionellaceae. The record is from RNAcentral.
GCGUAGGAAUAUACCUUUUAGUGGGGACGAACUCGAGGAAACGUACGAGCUAAUACCGCAUAAGAUCUAAGGAGGAAAGACUGGGGACCGUUCGGGCCUGGCGCUAAAAGAAUUAGCCUGCGUACGAUUAGCUAGUUGGUGGGGUAAAGGCCUACCAAGGCGACGAUCGUUAGCUGGUCUGAGAGGAUGAUCAGCCACACUGGGACUGAGACACGGCCCAGACUCCUACGGGAGGCAGCAGUGGGGAAUAUUGGACAAUGGGGCGAACCCUGAUCCAGCAAUGCCGCGUGUGUGAAGAAG